Molecule: ribosomal RNA, 66 nt
Filed under: Desulfopila sp. IMCC35006
Lineage: Bacteria; Pseudomonadati; Thermodesulfobacteriota; Desulfobulbia; Desulfobulbales; Desulfocapsaceae
Source: RNAcentral
UACGGCGGUCAUAGCAAAGAGGAUCCACCCGUUCCCAUUCCGAACACGGAAGUUAAGCUCUUUAGC